CACUCCUACGGGAGGCAGCAGUGGGGAAUAUUGCACAAUGGGCGCAAGCCUGAUGCAGCCAUGCCGCGUGUGUGAAGAAGGCCUUCGGGUUGUAAAGCACUUUCAGCGGGGAGGAAGGCAAUGCGGUUAAUAACCGUGUUGAUUGACGUUACCCGCAGAAGAAGCACCGGCUAACUCCGUGCCAGCAGCCGCGGUAAUACGGAGGGUGCAAGCGUUAAUCGGAAUUACUGGGCGUAAAGCGCACGCAGGCGGUCUGUCAAGUCGGAUGUGAAAUCCCCGGGCUCAACCUGGGAACUGCAUUCGAAACUGGCAGGCUUGAGUCUUGUAGAGGGGGGUAGAAUUCCAGGUGUAGCGGUGAAAUGCGUAGAGAUCUGGAGGAAUACCGGUGGCGAAGGCGGCCCCCUGGACAAAGACUGACGCUCAGGUGCGAAAGCGUGGGGAGCAAACAGGAUUAGAAACCCUAGUAGUCCCAUG
Molecule: ribosomal RNA, 474 nt
Filed under: uncultured organism
Description: partial 16S ribosomal RNA
Rfam family: Bacterial small subunit ribosomal RNA
Source: RNAcentral